RNAcentral lists this ribosomal RNA (311 nucleotides) under uncultured bacterium. RNAcentral's name for it is "bacterial SSU rRNA". It matches the Rfam family "Bacterial small subunit ribosomal RNA", at positions 28 to 368 of the family's 1533-position model. The record is from RNAcentral.
GAUGAACGCUAGCGGCAGGCUUAACACAUACAAGUCGAGGGCAGCGUGAGGGUUAGCAAUAACCCUUGACGGCGACCGGCGCAAGGGUGCGUAACGCGUGAGCAACUUGCCCUUAUCAGGGGGAUAACCGGUGGAAACCGCCGACUAAUACCCCAUGGCAUUGAGUUGAGGCAUCUCUACUCAAUUAAAGAAUUUCGGAUAAGGAUAGGCUCGCGUGACAUUGGCUAGGGGUUCUGAGAGGAAGGUCCCCCANACUGGAACUGAGACACGGUCCAGACUCCUACGGGAGGCAGCCAGUGAGGAAUAUUGGU